GGGCCAUUAGCUCAGUUGGUAGAGCAUCUGACUUUUAAUCAGAGGGUCAGAGGUUCGAAUCCUCUAUGGCUCACCA
Molecule: transfer RNA, 76 nt
Filed under: Staphylococcus aureus
Lineage: Bacteria; Bacillati; Bacillota; Bacilli; Caryophanales; Staphylococcaceae
Description: tRNA-Lys
Rfam family: tRNA
About the family: Transfer RNA (tRNA) molecules are approximately 80 nucleotides in length. Their secondary structure includes four short double-helical elements and three loops (D, anti-codon, and T loops).
Source: RNAcentral